RNAcentral lists this ribosomal RNA (501 nucleotides) under uncultured Oscillibacter sp. Its description in RNAcentral is "partial 16S ribosomal RNA". Lineage: Bacteria; Bacillati; Bacillota; Clostridia; Eubacteriales; Oscillospiraceae. The record is from RNAcentral.
CACGUAGUUAGCCGUGGCUUAUUCAAGGGGUACCGUCUUCUGCUCUUCCCCCUUAAAAGAAGUUUACAACCCGAAAGCCUUCUUCCUUCACGCGGCGUUGCUGGGUCAGACUUGCGUCCAUUGCCCAAUAUUCCCCACUGCUGCCUCCCGUAGGAGUCUGGGCCGUAUCUCAGUCCCAAUGUGGCCGGCCAACCUCUCAGUCCGGCUACUGAUCGUCGCCUUGGUGGGCCGUUACCUCACCAACUAGCUAAUCAGACGCGAGGCCAUCUUCCAGCGAUAAAUCUUUGACGUCGGAGUCAUGCGGCUCCAACGUAUCAUGCGGUAUUAGCAGUCGUUUCCAACUGUUGUCCCCCUCUGGAAGGCAGGUUCCUCACGCGUUACUCACCAGUCCGCCACUAAGCAUUCCCUUCCGUUGUCCGAAAACUCCUUCAGGGGUGCUCCGUUCGACUUGCAUGUGUUAAGCACGCCGCCAGCGUUCGUCCUGAGCCAGGAUCAAACUCU